GACGAACGCUGGCGGCGUGCCUAAUACAUGCAAGUAGAACGCACAGUUUAUACCGUAGCUUGCUACACCAUAGACUGUGAGUUGCGAACGGGUGAGUAACGCGUAGGUAACCUGCCUGGUAGCGGGGGAUAACUAUUGGAAACGAUAGCUAAUACCGCAUAAUAUUAAUUAUUGCAUGAUAAUUAAUUGAAAUGUGCAAUUGCACCACUACCAGAUGGACCUGCGUUGUAUUAGCUAGUAGGUGAGGUAACGGCUCACCUAGGCGACGAUACAUAGCCGACCUGGGAGGGUGAUCGGCCACACUGGGACUGAGACACGGCCCAGAAUCCUACGGGAGGCAGCAGUAGGGAAUCUUCGGCAAUGGACGGAAGUCUGAACGAGCAACGCCGCGUGGGUGAAGAAGGUUUUCGGAUCGGAAAGCUCUGUUGUAAGAGAAGAACGGGUGUGAGAGUGGAAAGUUCACACUGUGACGGUACCUUACCAGAAAGGGACGGCUAACUACGUG
RNAcentral lists this ribosomal RNA (505 nucleotides) under uncultured bacterium. Its description in RNAcentral is "partial 16S ribosomal RNA". It matches the Rfam family "Bacterial small subunit ribosomal RNA", at positions 28 to 507 of the family's 1533-position model. The record is from RNAcentral.